UAAUACAUGCAAGUCGAACGAGAUUAAGGGGCUUGCUCCUUAUGAAAGUGGCGCACGGGUGCGUAACGCGUAUGCAACCUACCUUAAUCAGGGGGAUAGCCCGAAGAAAUUCGGAUUAAGACCGCAUAAAAACACAGGAUAGCAUUAUCCAAUGUUCAAAUAUUUAUAGGAUUAAGAUGGGCAUGCGUGUCAUUAGCUAGUUGGCGGGGUAACGGCCCACCAAGGCGACGAUGACUAGGGGAUCUGAGAGGAUGACCCCCCACACUGGUACUGAGACACGGACCAGACUCCUACGGGAGGCAGCAGUAAGGAAUAUUGGUCAAUGGAGGGAACUCUGAACCAGCCAUGCCGCGUGCAGGAAGACAGCCCUCUGGGUCGUAAACUKCUUUUAUUCGGGAAUAAAC
RNAcentral lists this ribosomal RNA (404 nucleotides) under Sphingobacteriaceae bacterium Ellin6205. Its description in RNAcentral is "bacterial SSU rRNA". It matches the Rfam family "Bacterial small subunit ribosomal RNA", at positions 49 to 451 of the family's 1533-position model. The record is from RNAcentral. Lineage: Bacteria; Pseudomonadati; Bacteroidota; Sphingobacteriia; Sphingobacteriales; Sphingobacteriaceae.